AUGGUUUCAUUUGAAAAUACAAACACAGAAUUAUCUGAAUUCAAAACACUUACACCAGAAUCAAAUUUCUUAAGCUUUUUAGCUACUUAUCAAAAUGGCUUGUGGAUGUGGUUCUACUUGUGCCUCUAACUGCGGCUGUGGAUGCAAGUCCGCUGCUCAGGAAAACCUCGAGGGAGGAUGCAAGUGCGGAGACAGCUGCUCAUGUACCGACUGCAAGUUUUAAUGAAGAAAAUGAUGAAGAUCCCUGACAUCAUUUUAUUAUGGUAUGGUUGGUUUGUAUGUACUUUGGUGUUAAAUAAAGUAGCUAUCGUUAGCAAUACUUGAGCUUAAGUGUUGUUAUAUAUUCCUAGCUACACAGUGUUUGUAUGUGCAAAACAGGAAAAAGAAAUUGUUUGUGUAUUGUGUAAAAGUGGUAAUGGGAGAUGUUUCACUCCUGUUUUGUAUGUACUUUGGUGUUAAAUAAAGUAGCUAUCGUUAGCAAUACUUGAGCUUAAGUGUUGUUAUAUAUUCCUAGCUACACAGUGUUUGUAUGUGCAAAACAGGAAAAAGAAAUUGUUUGUGUAUUGUGUAAAA
Molecule: long non-coding RNA, 573 nt
Organism: Papaver somniferum (opium poppy)
Lineage: Eukaryota; Viridiplantae; Streptophyta; Magnoliopsida; Ranunculales; Papaveraceae
Exons: 3
Source: RefSeq, a predicted model, not a curated record